UACGUAGGGUGCAAGCGUUGUCCGGAAUUAUUGGGCGUAAAGAGCUCGUAGGCGGUCUGUCGCGUCGGCUGUGAAAACCCGGGGCUCAACCCCGGGCCUGCAGUCGAUACGGGCAGACUAGAGUGCGGUAGGGGAGACUGGAAUUCCUGGUGUAGCGGUGAAAUGCGCAGACAUCAGGAGGAACACCGGUGGCGAAGGCGGGUCUCUGGGCCGUAACUGACGCUGAGGAGCGAAAGCGUGGGGAGCGAACAGG
RNAcentral lists this ribosomal RNA (253 nucleotides) under uncultured bacterium. RNAcentral's name for it is "partial 16S ribosomal RNA". It matches the Rfam family "Bacterial small subunit ribosomal RNA", at positions 524 to 776 of the family's 1533-position model. The record is from RNAcentral.